RNAcentral lists this ribosomal RNA (460 nucleotides) under uncultured bacterium. RNAcentral's name for it is "partial 16S ribosomal RNA". It matches the Rfam family "Bacterial small subunit ribosomal RNA", at positions 338 to 795 of the family's 1533-position model. The record is from RNAcentral.
CCUACGGGAGGCAGCAGUGAGGAAUAUUGGUCAAUGGUCGGGAGACUGAACCAGCCAAGCCGCGUGAGGGAUGAAGGUACAGAGUAUCGUAAACCUCUUUUGUCAGGGAACAAAGGCGGGGACGUGUCCCCGUAUGAGUGUACCUUAAGAAAAAGCAUCGGCUAACUCCGUGCCAGCAGCCGCGGUAAUACGGAGGAUGCGAGCGUUAUCCGGAUUUAUUGGGUUUAAAGGGUGCGCAGGGGGUCUGUUAAGUCAGGUGUGAAAGCCCGGGGCUCAACCCCGGCACGGCAGUUGAAACUGGCAGUCUAGAGUAGGAGAGAGGUAUGCGGAAUGCGAGGUGUAGCGGUGAAAUGCAUAGAUAUCGCGCAGAACUCCGAUUGCGAAGGCAGCAUGCUGGAUCCACACUGACGCUGAGGCACGAAAGCGUGGGUAUCGAACAGGAUUAGAUACCCCUGUAGUC